GACGAACGCUGGCGGCGUGCUUAACACAUGCAAGUCGAACGGAAAGGCCUGCUUUCCCUUGUGGAUUGCGGGUACUCGAGUGGCGAACGGGUGAGUAACACGUGAGUGAUCUGCCCCCAACUUGGGUAUAAGCCUGGGAAACUGGGUCUAAUUCCCGAUAGGACUGCAGGGUGGUGCCUGUGGUGGAAAACGAUUUUCUAGUGGUUGGGGAUGAGCUCGCGGCCUAUCAGCUUGUUGGUGGGGUAAUGGCCUACCAAGGCGGCGACGGGUAGCCGGCCUGAGAGGGUGGACGGCCACAUUGGGACUGAGAUACGGCCCAGACUCCUACGGGAGGCAGCAGUGGGGAAUAUUGCACAAUGGGCGGAAGCCUGAUGCAGCGACGCCGCGUGGGGGAUGACGGCCUUCGGGUUGUAAACUCCUUUCGACCGCGAGGAAGCCACCUGGUUGGAAGGGUGGUGACGGUAGUGGUAAAAGAAGCACCGGCUAACUACGUG
This 494-nucleotide ribosomal RNA is filed under the name uncultured bacterium. RNAcentral describes it as "partial 16S ribosomal RNA". It matches the Rfam family "Bacterial small subunit ribosomal RNA", at positions 28 to 507 of the family's 1533-position model. The record is from RNAcentral.